RNAcentral lists this ribosomal RNA (468 nucleotides) under uncultured bacterium. RNAcentral describes it as "partial 16S ribosomal RNA". It matches the Rfam family "Bacterial small subunit ribosomal RNA", at positions 28 to 507 of the family's 1533-position model. The record is from RNAcentral.
GACGAACGCUGGCGGCGUGCUUAACACAUGCAAGUCGAACGGAAAGGCCCUGCUUUUGUGGGGUGCUCGAGUGGCGAACGGGUGAGUAACACGUGAGUAACCUGCCCUUGACUUUGGGAUAACUUCAGGAAACUGGGGCUAAUACCGGAUAUGAGCUCCUGCUGCAUGGUGGGGGUUGGAAAGUUUCGGCGGUUGGGGAUGGACUCGCGGCUUAUCAGCUUGUUGGUGGGGUAGUGGCUUACCAAGGCUUUGACGGGUAGCCGGCCUGAGAGGGGGACCGGCCACAUUGGGACGGAGAUAAGGCCCAGACUCCGACGGGAGGCAGCAGUGGGGAAUAGUGCACAAUGGGCGGAAGCCUGAGGCAGCAACGCCGCGUGCGGGAUGACGGCCUUCGGGUUGUAAACCGCUUUCGCCUGUGACGAAGCGGGAGUGACGGUAAUGGGUAAAGAAGCACCGGCUAACUACGUG